Non-coding RNA from Lactuca sativa (garden lettuce), 909 nucleotides. The record is from RefSeq and is a predicted model, not a curated record. Lineage: Eukaryota; Viridiplantae; Streptophyta; Magnoliopsida; Asterales; Asteraceae.
GUUUGAAAUAUGUAAAUUUCUUAUCGAUUUGUUUAUUCUUAAUGAAGAAGUUGAAGUUUCCCAGGUUUUGAGAGGUGGUGGACGACGCUAUCAGAAAGAUGGGACUGAUUUUGGCUUCUUCUUUAAAUGUGUACAGCACAAAUUAUUAAAGAACCUGUCUGCACCUAACAAGUUCAGCAAGAUACCUCCCUGGACCAGAUGACAUGUCAUUUUUGGACAUUGCAUACACAAUCUACACAAGAGUUUGAAGAAUGUCGAAGUGUAAUGUCCUGAUUUGUAAAAAUUUGUAAGUGUAAUGCUAUACAAUGUCAUGAGAUUAUCAAUGUUGCCCUAAACUACACUUUUCUGAGGAAGUUGAUCCUCAAUUACUUUUUUACCAGUGGAAUAUUCUUAAGUCACUAGAAAACAACCUCUUUAUUCUCAACUGCAGGUAAACCACAUUUUACAUGUCAUAUUUUAAUUAACAGGAUAUACUAUUAAGUGUUAUGUGUUAAUCUCCUAUAUAAUGUUUUCAUGCAGUUUUGAAACUUUAUGGAACUUGGAUCUGUCAUAUGGUAUCAUUAAAGAAGUGGUCAAAGGUUUGACUUCUAUUAUCUAGAUGAUGAUCUGUAUGUUUUCAUGCUCCUUUUUAUUCCUUCUUUCCUCCAUAGUCCUCCUUGCAGAUUUCUGUAAACCCUAGAGGAAUUCUGUCACCACUUCCUUCACAAUCCUUCUACGAUUUCCAAAAUCGUUAUCCUUCUUAUUCAAAAGACACUGACAUGGAUCUUCCAAGUCUAGCUGUUGUUCUACAAACAACACUUAGUCCCAAUCCUGCUGAAAGAAAAGCCGCUGAAGAGAGCCUCAAUAAGGUAUUACUUCUCAUUUGGAUCGAAGUUACAUUGGAAAUCGUAUUCAAUCAUGGAUCAUCCA